RNAcentral lists this ribosomal RNA (253 nucleotides) under uncultured bacterium. RNAcentral's name for it is "partial 16S ribosomal RNA". It matches the Rfam family "Bacterial small subunit ribosomal RNA", at positions 524 to 776 of the family's 1533-position model. The record is from RNAcentral.
UACGAAGGGGGCUAGCGUUGCUCGGAAUUACUGGGCGUAAAGCGCGUGUAGGCGGUUGCCCAAGUCGGGUGUGAAAGCCUUGAGCUCAACUCAAGAAAUGCACUCGGUACUGGGUGACUAGAGGACCGGAGAGGAUAGUGGAAUUCCCAGUGUAGUGGUGAAAUACGUAGAGAUUGGGAAGAACACCAGUGGCGAAGGCGGCUAUCUGGACGGUUUCUGACGCUAAGACGCGAAAGCGUGGGGAGCAAACAGG